CCCGCUCCUGCAAGGCAGAGGCGCAGAGGCUCAGAGGCACGGCCAGACCUGUCCAGGGGUCCCAGCUUUGGUCCAAGUUGGGACCUCACACCUUGUAGGGCCAGUUCCGUCUUCUCCACUUGAUUGCAUGUUUGCAGUGAGUUCCUGAGUUAUCGGGAUGAAUGGUCAGAAAGCAGUGUGCCCACCAAUGGAUGUUUCCUGCCAUUGGGCCCCUUAGCAGUGACUUGGGUGCAAACCAGGGUGAUUUUUACAACUUUUAAACAAGUUUAAAGCAACUUUGUUGGCUUUCUUAGCUAUUUGCUUUGAAAAUAUUAAAUUCAUUUUCAGCAGGUGAGUCAUUCAACAGUCACACUUUCUGAGCAUCUAUGUUUGCAGCCAGUGUUCGAAGACCAGGGUUCUGGCCAGGUCAGAACAGGACAACAGAAUGAAAUUGUAAUGGAAAUGGUGAGAAAAGAAAAUAAAAAUGCAUAGCAUGG
Long non-coding RNA from Gorilla gorilla gorilla (western lowland gorilla), 476 nucleotides. RefSeq lists it as uncharacterized. The record is from RefSeq and is a predicted model, not a curated record. The transcript is spliced from 2 exons. Lineage: Eukaryota; Metazoa; Chordata; Mammalia; Primates; Hominidae.